RNAcentral lists this small nuclear RNA (305 nucleotides) under Myotis brandtii (Brandt's bat). Its description in RNAcentral is "7SK RNA". It matches the Rfam family "7SK RNA". Rfam says of the family: 7SK was discovered as an abundant small nuclear RNA in the mid-70s but a possible function has only recently been suggested. Two independent studies have found that 7SK RNA binds the CDK9/cyclin T complex (known as elongation factor P-TEFb). Lineage: Eukaryota; Metazoa; Chordata; Mammalia; Chiroptera; Vespertilionidae. The record is from Rfam by way of RNAcentral.
GGAUGGAGGGCUAUCUGGCUGCGACAUCUGCCACAGGAAACUGAUCGGGAGUUGAUUCAGCUGAUCUGGCUGGCUAGGCCGGUGUCCCCUCCUCCCCACCGAUCCAUGUGAGUCCCUCGUGAAGCUGCGCUCGGUGGAAGAGGACGUCCUUCCCCCCAGAGGAGAGGACCAGUCUUCGUCAACGGUAAGGAGUAGCUGCGCUCCCCGCUAGAACCUCCCAACAACUCUCAAGAAGCAUGUGUCUUUCUUUUUACUUUUUAUCCAAUCCCAGAUAUCCCUCCCCACCCCCACCCCCUUUACUUUCU